This 88-nucleotide transfer RNA is filed under the name compost metagenome. RNAcentral describes it as "tRNA-Phe". The record is from RNAcentral.
GUUGACCUGGCCGAACUGGCGCGGCCGCCGAUGAACGCGGUGGUGAAGGUCGGCGGCGCCAGCGGCGCGUUCGUGUCGAAGGACGGCC